GCAAGUCGAACGAUGAAGCCCUUCGGGGUGGAUUAGUGGCGAACGGGUGAGUAACACGUGGGCAAUCUGCCCUUCACUCUGGGACAAGCCCUGGAAACGGGGUCUAAUACCGGAUAACACUUCCUGCCGCAUGGCGGGGGGUUAAAAGCUCCGGCGGUGAAGGAUGAGCCCGCGGCCUAUCAGCUUGUUGGUGGGGUGAUGGCCUACCAAGGCGACGACGGGUAGCCGGCCUGAGAGGGCGACCGGCCACACUGGGACUGAGACACGGCCCAGACUCCUACGGGAGGCAGCAGUGGGGAAUAUUGCACAAUGGGCGAAAGCCUGAUGCAGCGACGCCGCGUGAGGGAUGACGGCCUUCGGGUUGUAAACCUCUUUCAGCAGGGAAGAAGCGAAAGUGACGGUACCUGCAGAAGAAGCGCCGGCUAACUACGUGCCAGCAGCCGCGGUAAUACGUAGGGCGCAAGCGUUGUCCGGAAUUAUUGGGCGUAAAGAGCUCGUAGGCGGCUUGUCACGUCGGAUGUGAAAGCCCGGGGCUUAACCCCGGGUCUGCAUUCGAUACGGGCUAGCUAGAGUGUGGUAGGGGAGAUCGGAAUUCCUGGUGUAGCGGUGAAAUGCGCAGAUAUCAGGAGGAACACCGGUGGCGAAGGCGGAUCUCUGGGCCAUUACUGACGCUGAGGAGCGAAAGCGUGGGGAGCGAACAGGAUUAGAUACCCUGGUAGUCCACGCCGUAAACGUUGGGAACUAGGUGUUGGCGACAUUCCACGUCGUCGGUGCCGCAGCUAACGCAUUAAGUUCCCCGCCUGGGGAGUACGGCCGCAAGGCU
Molecule: ribosomal RNA, 823 nt
Filed under: Streptomyces sp. TBS3-20_Pa
Lineage: Bacteria; Bacillati; Actinomycetota; Actinomycetes; Kitasatosporales; Streptomycetaceae
Description: bacterial SSU rRNA
Rfam family: Bacterial small subunit ribosomal RNA
Source: RNAcentral